This is a non-coding RNA of Piedraia hortae CBS 480.64, 92 nucleotides long. NCBI's taxonomy places the organism in Eukaryota, Fungi, Ascomycota, Dothideomycetes, Capnodiales, Piedraiaceae. The record is from the annotation of a GenBank genome assembly.
GGUGGUAUGGUCUAGUGGUAUGACGUCACGUUGUGGUGAUUAACAAUUGCACAACUUCCGUGCCAGCCUCAGUUCGAUUCUGGGUACCGCCA